CUCCUCUGUGGGUGGGAUGCUGGGUGUGGGAUUGGUGCUGUUGGGCUCCUUGCUUCAUGUUCCUGCUCAGUGUCUGUAGCACUAAGAAAAGCAAAACCCAUUAAUGGUGCAGUUUGUGACACAACUGAAGGCUUCUCUAAUGGGCAGCUCUCCUGCAAUCCCACUGCGCUCUGGCUUCGGAGGAAUUUGCUUGGCGUUGUGGUGCUCAGCUUCUCCCCCUCCAUUUCCCAGGCUCCAGAGACUAAUCCUUCCUUCGGCUGGUUUUGCUGCUGCUAUGGCAAUAUUUUCUCCCCCAUAGUGGUAAUCAUGCAAUGGUCUCUGAGAACAGCAGGAGAAGCGGUGCCUGUUAGAUGCAUAAAAGGGAUACAGUUUGGAAAACAUAACAGGCUGCUGGAGAUAUGAAUGCUUAUAAGCCUGACUGUCCUCUUCUUGUGUCCAAUGUUUCUGCACAGGUGUAGAUUCCCUGUGCAAAUCACUGGGGAAACGUGGCACUUGCUGACAGUGCCAUUCAGGACCCUGCCCUGGUGGCCUGGAGGAUGCUUGGAUCCCAGGAGCUGGCCUGCAGGGUUGUUCCUCACCUGGCUGCAGUCGUGUUGGAGCCCUGCAGAGCCUGUCUUCCCUGUGCUGGGGGCUCUGCCCUUAGCACAUGGGAUGGACAAUGCUGCUGACAACUCCUCCCAGGCACAAGGGACCCUGGUGAUAUAAGAAAGGUCAUUCAGGGACCUCAGCAGUGUCAUCCUCAAAUGGAAAUGUCAUUUUUUAUUAUUCAGUGCUGAUAGAGAGCUCAGAAUAAAGGCAGCUGAUGGCUGGGAGAGCUUCAGCCUUGGAUGAUGCCACCUUUGCUGCCUGUUCCUCCUGCCUCCCUGCCUGCACCAUACCCUGCUCUGGGCAUGGAAAUGCAGUCUCAGAGUGGAAGUUAUCUCACGUUGCAGACUUGUGCUGGAGCAUUGCUUCCAUCUCCAUGAAAGCAAAUGAAAGGGGUGUGAUCCAAAUUGCGUUUCCUCUCGCAGCCUGGAGUAUGACGGCACAUUAAAGCCGGUAAUAUUCC
Molecule: long non-coding RNA, 1048 nt
Organism: Neopsephotus bourkii (Bourke's parrot)
Lineage: Eukaryota; Metazoa; Chordata; Aves; Psittaciformes; Psittacidae
Exons: 4
Source: RefSeq, a predicted model, not a curated record